GACGAACGCUGGCGGCGCGCCUAACACAUGCAAGUCGAACGGAGCUUUUGAGAGCUUGCUUUUAAAGCUUAGUGGCGAACGGGUGAGUAACGCGUGAGUAACCUGCCCUGGAGUGGGGGACAACAGUUGGAAACGACUGCUAAUACCGCAUAAGACCACGUCCUCACAUGAGGGAGAGGUAAAAGGAGCAAUCCGGUUUGGGGUGAGUUCGCGUCCGAUUAGCUAGUUGGUGAGGUAACGGCCCACCAAGGCGACGAUCGGUAGCCGACCUGAGAGGGUGAUCGGCCACAUUGGGACUGAGACACGGCCCAA
This 312-nucleotide ribosomal RNA is filed under the name uncultured bacterium. Its description in RNAcentral is "bacterial SSU rRNA". It matches the Rfam family "Bacterial small subunit ribosomal RNA", at positions 28 to 334 of the family's 1533-position model. The record is from RNAcentral.